AGGACGAACGCUGGCGGCGCGCCUAACACAUGCCUUUCGAACGAGCGAGAGAGAGCUUGCUUUCUCGAGCGAGUGGCGAACGGGUGAGUAACGCGUGAGGAACCUGCCUCAAAGAGGGGGACAACAGUUGGAAACGACUGCUAAUACCGCAUAAGCCCACGGGUCGGCAUCGACCAGAGGGAAGAGGAGCAAUCCGCUUUGAGAUGGCCUCGCGUCCGAUUAGCUAGUUGGUGAGGUAAUGGCCCACCAAGGCGACGAUCGGUAGCCGGACUGAGAGGUUGAACGGCCACAUUGGGACUGAGACACGGCCCAGACUCCUACGGGAGGCAGCAGUGGGGAAUAUUGCACAAUGGGGGAAACCCUGAUGCAGCGACGCCGCGUGGAGGAAGAAGGUCUUCGGAUUGUAAACUCCUGUUGUUGGGGAAGAUAAUGACGGUACCCAACAAGGAAGUGACGGCUAACUACGUGCCAGCAGCCGCGGUAAAACGUAGGUCACAAGCGUUGUCCGGAAUUACUGGGUGUAAA
RNAcentral lists this ribosomal RNA (525 nucleotides) under uncultured bacterium. RNAcentral's name for it is "bacterial SSU rRNA". It matches the Rfam family "Bacterial small subunit ribosomal RNA", at positions 26 to 564 of the family's 1533-position model. The record is from RNAcentral.